This 451-nucleotide small RNA is filed under the name Pongo abelii (Sumatran orangutan). RNAcentral's name for it is "processed transcript". Lineage: Eukaryota; Metazoa; Chordata; Mammalia; Primates; Hominidae. The record is from RNAcentral.
UCGCUCUCUUUCUGCCGCCAUCUUGGUUCCGCGUUCCCUGCACAAAAUGCCCGGCGAAGCCACAGAAACCGUCCCUGCUACAGAGCAGGAGUUGCCGCAGCCCCAGGCUGAGACAGGGUCUGGAACAGAAUCUGACAGUGAUGAAUCAGUACCAGAGCUUGAAGAACAGGAUUCCACCCAGGCAACCACACAACAAGCCCAGCUGGCGGCAGCAGCUGAAAUUGAUGAAGAACCAGUCAGUAAAGCAAAACAGAGUCGGAGUGAAAAGAAGAUGUCUACAAGAGCCCUGCUUCGGAUACUUACAUAGUUUUUGGGGAAGCCAAGAUCGAAGAUUUAUCCCAGCAAGCACAACUAGCAGCUGCUGAGAAAUUCAAAGUUCAAGGUGAAGCUGUCUCAAACAUUCAAGAAAACACACAGACUCCAACUGUACAAGAGGAGAGUGAAGAGGAAG